CUGGCGGCAGGCCUAACACAUGCAAGUCGAGCGCUCACUUCGGUGGGAGCGGCGGACGGGUUAGUAACGCGUGGGAAUAUGCCCGGUACUAAGGAAUAGCCUUUGGAAACGAAGAGUAAUACCUUAUACGCCCUUCGGGGGAAAGAUUUAUCGGUAUCGGAUUAGCCCGCGUAAGAUUAGAUAGUUGGUGGGGUAAUGGCCUACCAAGUCUACGAUCUUUAGCUGGUUUUAGAGGAUGAUCAGCAACACUGGGACUGAGACACGGCCCASACUCCUACGGGAGGCAGCAGUGGGGAAUCUUAGACAAUGGGCGCAAGCCUGAUCUAGCCAUGCCGCGUGAGUGAAGAAGGCCUUAGGGUCGUAAAACUCUUUCGUCAGAGAUGAUAAUGACAGUAUCUGGUAAAGAAACCCCGGCUAACUCCGUGCCAGCAGCCGCGGUAAUACGGAGGGGGUUAGCGUUGUUCSGAAUUACUGGGCGUAAAGCGCACSUAGGCGGACUGGAAAGUUGGGGGUGAAAUCCCGGGGCUCAACCUCGGAACUG
RNAcentral lists this ribosomal RNA (541 nucleotides) under uncultured marine bacterium. Its description in RNAcentral is "bacterial SSU rRNA". It matches the Rfam family "Bacterial small subunit ribosomal RNA", at positions 36 to 623 of the family's 1533-position model. The record is from RNAcentral.